UACGUAGGGGGCAAGCGUUAUCCGGAUUUACUGGGUGUAAAGGGAGCGUAGGCGGGCAUUUAAGCCGGCGGUCAAAUGUCGGGGCUCAACCCCGGCCUGCCGUCGGAACUGGGUGCCUUGAGUGGGCGAGAAGUAUGCGGAAUGCGUGGUGUAGCGGUGAAAUGCAUAGAUAUCACGCAGAACCCCGAUUGCGAAGGCAGCAUACCGGCGCCCGACUGACGCUGAAGCACGAAAGCGUGGGUAUCGAACAGG
RNAcentral lists this ribosomal RNA (252 nucleotides) under uncultured Bacteroidales bacterium. RNAcentral's name for it is "partial 16S ribosomal RNA". It matches the Rfam family "Bacterial small subunit ribosomal RNA", at positions 524 to 776 of the family's 1533-position model. The record is from RNAcentral. Lineage: Bacteria; Pseudomonadati; Bacteroidota; Bacteroidia; Bacteroidales.